This 76-nucleotide transfer RNA is filed under the name Pseudomonas sp. RNAcentral describes it as "tRNA-Val". It matches the Rfam family "tRNA". Rfam says of the family: Transfer RNA (tRNA) molecules are approximately 80 nucleotides in length. Their secondary structure includes four short double-helical elements and three loops (D, anti-codon, and T loops). Lineage: Bacteria; Pseudomonadati; Pseudomonadota; Gammaproteobacteria; Pseudomonadales; Pseudomonadaceae. The record is from RNAcentral. RNAcentral also lists the same sequence under 110 other names.
GGGUGGUUAGCUCAGCUGGGAGAGCAUCUGCCUUACAAGCAGAGGGUCGGCGGUUCGAUCCCGUCACCACCCACCA